Molecule: ribosomal RNA, 493 nt
Filed under: uncultured microorganism
Description: bacterial SSU rRNA
Rfam family: Bacterial small subunit ribosomal RNA
Source: RNAcentral
AAUGAACGCUGGCGGUAGGCUUAACACAUGCAAGUCGAACGGAAACGAAAAAGAGCUUGCUCUUUAGGCGUCGAGUGGCGGACGGGUGAGUAACGCGUGGGAAUCUACCCUAUAGUUGGGGACAACAUAUGGAAACGUAUGCUAAUACCGAAUGAACUCUACGGAGUAAAGGAGCCCUCUUCUUGAAAGGUUUCGCUAUAGGAUGAGCCCGCGUUAGAUUAGCUAGUUGGUGAGGUAAAGGCUCACCAAGGCCACGAUCUAUAGCUGGUUUGAGAGGAUGAUCAGCCACACUGGGACUGAGACACGGCCCAGACUCCUACGGGAGGCAGCAGUGGGGAAUAUUGCACAAUGGACGCAAGUCUGAUGCAGCCAUACCGCGUGUGUGAAGAAGGCCCGAGGGUUGUAAAGCACUUUCAGUAGGGAGGAAGAUUAUAGAGUUAAUACCUUUAUAGUUUGACGUUACCUACAGAAGAAGCACCGGCUAACUCUGUGC